Molecule: ribosomal RNA, 468 nt
Filed under: uncultured bacterium
Lineage: Bacteria
Description: partial 16S ribosomal RNA
Rfam family: Bacterial small subunit ribosomal RNA
Source: RNAcentral
GACGAACGCUGGCGGCGUGCUUAACACAUGCAAGUCGAACGGAAAGGCCCUGCUUUUGUGGGGUGCUCGAGUGGCGAACGGGUGAGUAACACGUGAGUAACCUGCCCUUGACUGUGGGAUAACUUCAGGAAACUGGGGCUAAUACCGGAUAGGAGCUCCUGCUGCAUGGUGGGGGUUGGAAAGUUUCGGCGGUUGGGGAUGGACUCGCGGCUUAUCAGCUUGUUGGUGGGGUAGUGGCUUACCAAGGCUUUGACGGGUAGCCGGCCUGAGAGGGUGACCGGCCACAUUGGGACUGCGAUACGGCCCAGACUCCUACGGGAGGCAGCAGUGGGGAAUAUUGCACAAUGGGCGGAAGCCUGAUGCAGCAACGCCGCGUGCGGGAUGACGGCCUUCGGGUUGUAAACCGCUUUCGCCUGUGACGAAGCGUGAGUGACGGUAAUGGGUAAAGAAGCACCGGCUAACUACGUG